RNAcentral lists this ribosomal RNA (489 nucleotides) under uncultured bacterium. RNAcentral describes it as "partial 16S ribosomal RNA". It matches the Rfam family "Bacterial small subunit ribosomal RNA", at positions 28 to 507 of the family's 1533-position model. The record is from RNAcentral.
GAUGAACGCUGGCGGCGUGCCUAAUACAUGCAAGUCGAACGGAAAGGCGACCAGCUUGGUCGUGUUGCUUGAGCGGCGAACGGGUGAGUAACACGUGGGUGACCUGCCUUUUACUCCGGGAUAAGUUCGGGAAACUGGGGCUAAUACCGGAUAGGACCUCGAAUUAGAUGCUUAUGGAGGGAAGGAUAUUUUUGUUGUGCCUGAUGAGCUCACGUCCUAUCAGCUUGUUGGUGGGUUAGUUGCCUACUAAGGCGUCGACCGGUAGCCGGCCGGCGAGGGAGGCCAGCCUCGUUGGGACAGAGGUACCGCACAGACACCGACGGGAGGAAGCGGUGGGGAAUCUUGCACAAUGGGAGCAUGCCUGAGGCAGCGACGCCGCGUGAGGGAGGACGGCCGUCGGGUUGUAAACUCCUUUCGUUAGGGACGAAGCCGCACUUUUUUGGGGUGUGGUGACGGUACCUUUGUUAAGAAGCACCGGCUAACUACGUG